CCUUCCUUCAGUGUUGCCUGGCUUCAUUCCUCUUCUUGGUGGACUUGACCUAAGUUCCAGUUUGGGUGCCUUUUCCUUCAUGUUUCGGUUCCUCACACAGUCUGUGUUUAGCAUGCCUCUCAACACCCCUACCAUUUGGUCAACCAUCUGCUUUAAUAUACCUGUGAAAGAGAGCUUACUACCUCAUACUACAGAUCACGCCACUGAAAGACAGACUUACUCAUUGAAAAGUUCUUCUGUACAUAGAGGAAAGGUCACGUGAGGAUACAGGGAGAAGCUAGAUGUAUGCAAGUCAGGAAGAGAAGACACCAUUUCUCAAACAACCUUGUGGCAUGUGGAUCUUGGACUUCUAGCCUCCAGAACUCUGAGAAGAUAAAUGUCUACUGUUUUAAGCCACCCAGGCUGUGGCAUCAUGCUACAGCAGCCCAGGCUGACUAACGCAACACCCAAGCUGAAAAAUAGGUGUAAGUUGUGGUUUCUAUGGGAUCAAAACAGGAAAGACAACAGAAUUUCCUUAUUAUUUGAUAUGUCUGGAUGUUCUGUUGAUGAGCUGUAUUCGAUGAGUAAUAAAAUAAAGACAUACAUAAUUCA
Long non-coding RNA from Suricata suricatta (meerkat), 591 nucleotides. RefSeq lists it as uncharacterized. The transcript has 3 exons. NCBI's taxonomy places the organism in Eukaryota, Metazoa, Chordata, Mammalia, Carnivora, Herpestidae. The record is from RefSeq and is a predicted model, not a curated record.